Molecule: long non-coding RNA, 705 nt
Organism: Polypterus senegalus (gray bichir)
Lineage: Eukaryota; Metazoa; Chordata; Cladistia; Polypteriformes; Polypteridae
Exons: 3
Source: RefSeq, a predicted model, not a curated record
CGUGAAGCCGCGAAGCGGUUUUCCUACUAGAAGCCUCGCUGGGCGGCUGGCGCUCUCACCGUUUCUUGUGACUGACAGGCGCUUUCGUUUAUAUUAAGAGUAUAAGACGAGAAUCGGAAGAAGGGCGUGAACAACAGCUUGGUUGGUACGUGUGACCGAUAGCGACACUGAAGCUGGAUAAAGUAGGCUCGCUGAAUGGAUGGAUUAACGGUCGGCUCAUCCCGACGGAGAACUGAUCCCCAAUACACGCUGAUGAAAUACCAGAUGGGUCGCAUGUGCCUGAGAUGGUCAUAAAAGGAACUUGUGGGAACCUCCGCCACACCAUUUUGCUUCUGCUUGCGGUUGUAUCAGGAGGUGACAGUCAUUUAAAAACAAAUCCAGAUCAGAAUGAGGAACGCCUCAAGUAGAACACACGACGAAUGAGGAUGAGCGGCUUCCCCCACCACUGAGAGAAAAGCCACAUAGGAAGCCUUAUGUGUGCUCUUUCCACUUGAUGGAAGAGAAGCCAGCCAUGUGACGUCAGAUGCCCCUAUCUGAAAGGAGGGUAAGAGCAGGUACCCUGUUUUUAAUAGAGUUAGCCUGCCUCCUGCUGUCCAUCAAACACUUCGCCGUAUGGUAGUUAGGCUGCUACUAGACCUUCUCUUGUGCUGCUAUGUCCUUUUUGUAGCCUGGAGACCAAAACUGCACACAGUACUCAAGAUGAGG